UUGAAAGCAAGCUGACCUUGGCAGGGUGU
Molecule: non-coding RNA, 29 nt
Filed under: Rattus norvegicus (Norway rat)
Lineage: Eukaryota; Metazoa; Chordata; Mammalia; Rodentia; Muridae
Source: RNAcentral